GCCAGAAAACCUGUUCCAACGUGGGCUCCUCUCUCCAUGGGUCCACAGGUCCUAUCAGAAGCCUGCUCCAGCGUGGGCUUCCCACGGGGUCACAGCCUCCUUCGGGAACCCACCUGCUCUGGCGUGGGGUCCUCCCUGGGCUGCAGGGGGACAGCCUGCCUCACCAUGGUCUUCACCAUGGGCUGCAGGGGAAUCUCUGCUCUGGCACCUGGAGCACCUCCUCCCCCUCCUUCUUCACUGACUUUGGUGUCUGCAGGGCUGUUUCUCUUACAUGUUCUCACUCCUCUCUUCCAGCUGCCAUUUCUGUGCCCACUGCAACUUUUUUUCCCUUCUUAAAUAUGUUAUCACAGAGGCACUACCACUGUCCCUGAUUGGCUUGGCCUCGGUCAGUGGUGGUUCUGUCUUAGAGCCAGCUGGCAUUGGCUCUAUCGGACAUGGGGGGAAGCUUCCAGCAACUUCUCACAGAAGCCACCCCUGUAGCCCCCCUGCUACCAAAACCUUGCCAUGCAAACCUAAUACACUGAAGCAAUUCAGAUGGAAAUUACAUAACUCCAAGUUUUUUCCAUAAUUCAGAUUCUAAUAAUUUAGGAUGCAUGUUGAGAUCUUUGAAUGAAAGUGCUAAAGAAACUCCAUCUACUUUGAUGCUAGUUAUUUUAAUGUUCUUAUCCAAUUAGGCCUUUGAACCCUCCAUCAGAUUGUUUUGAGUAAGGUUGACCAGGCACUCCAUACAAAAGCAUCUGUUGACCCAGCAGGUGAAUAUGCCAAAUACUGUAUGGAGAGUCUAGGAAUUCCUGUGAUCCCAGGCAUGUCAGUCUGAAACUUUUCUACAGCAUGUCCAAAUGCUUUGAUUAAAUAUGCCUUUCUUUCCCAAUAAUGCUUGACAUAAAAAAAAAAGAAAGAGUUGUUGUUUGUAAAAUAUUCUACUUUAUGAAACUGAAAUAAUUACUUUAAAACUUGGGGUGAUCUUAAUGAUCUCUUCUGAAGGAAGAUUAAGGUGGUUAUGAUGGUCAGUACUAUGGAUACCUGCGUAGUGAAGUAUUUUCCAUGGACAUUUUUUAUAACUGCUUUAAGCAAGAAGUUAUAAUGAAUCCAAAGACUGGGAUGAAAUACAGAAACUUCAUUUUGAAACCUGGAGGAUCUUUGGAUGGGAUGGAUCUGCUUCAGAAUUUCUUGGAGCAUAAACCAAGCCAGAGAACUUUCCUACUGAGUAAGGGAUUAUGUGUUCAGUAAGGUUAUGGUGCCUUUGUAAUGGCAUGUAAGUAUGGAAUGAGCUGGAAAUGUCAGUGUAUUUCACAUCUUAACUAUGUAUAAUUCUAGGGAAAUUGGGUCAAUUUUUGAUGAUUUUUUAAAUUGUAUAAGUAAAAAAUGUGAUUUUUAAAUUGCAUAGGACUACAACAUUGAA
This is a long non-coding RNA of Harpia harpyja (harpy eagle), 1402 nucleotides long. RefSeq lists it as uncharacterized. The record is from RefSeq and is a predicted model, not a curated record. NCBI's taxonomy places the organism in Eukaryota, Metazoa, Chordata, Aves, Accipitriformes, Accipitridae. The transcript has 3 exons.